AUUGAACGCUGGCGGCAGGCUUAACACAUGCAAGCCGAGCGGGGGAAGGUAGCUUGCUACUGGACCUAGCGGCGGACGGGUGAGUAAUGCUUAGGAAUCUGCCCAUUAGUGGGGGACAACAUCUCGAAAGGGAUGCUAAUACCGCAUACGUCCUACGGGAGAAAGCAGGGGAUCUUCGGACCUUGCGCUAAUAGAUGAGCCUAAGUCGGAUUAGCUAGUUGGUGGGGUAAAGGCCUACCAAGGCGACGAUCUGUAGCGGGUCUGAGAGGAUGAUCCGCCACACUGGGACUGAGACACGGCCCAGACUCCUACGGGAGGCAGCAGUGGGGAAUAUUGGACAAUGGGGGGAACCCUGAUCCAGCCAUGCCGCGUGUGUGAAGAAGGCCUUAUGGUUGUAAAGCACUUUAAGCGAGGAGGAGGCUACUCUAGUUAAUACCUAGGGAUAGUGGACGUUACUCGCAGAAUAAGCACCGGCUAACUCUGUGCCAGCCGCCGCAGUAA
This 501-nucleotide ribosomal RNA is filed under the name uncultured bacterium. Its description in RNAcentral is "partial 16S ribosomal RNA". It matches the Rfam family "Bacterial small subunit ribosomal RNA", at positions 30 to 523 of the family's 1533-position model. The record is from RNAcentral.